This 74-nucleotide microRNA precursor is filed under the name Haemonchus placei. RNAcentral's name for it is "mir-5928 microRNA precursor family". It matches the Rfam family "mir-5928 microRNA precursor family". The record is from Rfam by way of RNAcentral. Lineage: Eukaryota; Metazoa; Nematoda; Chromadorea; Rhabditida; Trichostrongylidae.
GGCACAAACGUGAAGUAGAGUAGUUGGGUGUGGUCAACUGAUCCUACCAAUCUCUCUACUUCAUGUUUGUGUUC